UACAGAGGCCUCGAGCGUUAGGCGGAAUCACUGGGCUUAAAGCGUGUGUAGGCGGACUUCUAAGUACCUUGUGAAAUCCCACGGCUUACCCGUGGAACGGCUGGGUAUACUGGGAGUCUUGAGCCACCUAGGGGCGAGUGGAACAAAUGGUGGAGCGGUGAAAUGCGUAGAUAUCAUUUGGAACGCCAAUGGUGAAAACAGCUCGCUGGGGGUGUGCUGACGCUGAGACACGAAAGCCAGGGGAGCGAACGGG
Molecule: ribosomal RNA, 253 nt
Filed under: uncultured bacterium
Lineage: Bacteria
Description: partial 16S ribosomal RNA
Rfam family: Bacterial small subunit ribosomal RNA
Source: RNAcentral